This 253-nucleotide ribosomal RNA is filed under the name uncultured bacterium. RNAcentral describes it as "partial 16S ribosomal RNA". It matches the Rfam family "Bacterial small subunit ribosomal RNA", at positions 524 to 776 of the family's 1533-position model. The record is from RNAcentral.
UACGUAGGGGGCGAGCGUUGUCCGAAGUUACUGGGCGUAAAGAGCGUGUAGGCGGCUUGGUAGGUCCGCUGUGAAAACUCGAGGCUCAACCUCGAGAUGUCGGCGGAAACCACUUGGCUAGAGUCCGGAAGAGGAGAGUGGAAUUCCCGGUGUAGCGGUGAAAUGCGCAGAUAUCGGGAAGAACACCUAUGGCGAAGGCAGCUCUCUGGGACGGUACUGACGCUGAGACGCGAAAGCGUGGGGAGCGAACAGG